This 253-nucleotide ribosomal RNA is filed under the name uncultured bacterium. RNAcentral's name for it is "partial 16S ribosomal RNA". It matches the Rfam family "Bacterial small subunit ribosomal RNA", at positions 524 to 776 of the family's 1533-position model. The record is from RNAcentral.
UACGGAGGAGGCAAGCGUUAUCCGGAAUUAUUGGGCGUAAAGCGUCCGCAGGUGGCACUUCAAGUCUGUCGUCAAAGACUGGGGCUUAACCCUGGAAAGGCGGUGGAAACUGAAGCGCUAGAGUGUGGUAGGGGUAGAGGGAAUUCCGGGUGUAGCGGUGGAAUGCGUAGAGAUCCGGAAGAACACCGGUGGCGAAGGCGGUCUGCUGGGCAGUAGCUGACACUGAGGCGCGACAGCGUGGGGAGCAAACAGG